Molecule: unclassified non-coding RNA, 3205 nt
Filed under: Amphibalanus amphitrite
Lineage: Eukaryota; Metazoa; Arthropoda; Thecostraca; Balanomorpha; Balanidae
Description: palmitoyltransferase ZDHHC6-like, transcript variant X3
Source: RNAcentral
AUUCCUAAGCUGUGUUGAGCUGUGGUUGUAUGGUGGCUAUAAGUAGAAGCCGGUGAAUCGUUCCACAAUGUGCGUGGGCCCGUUCCGGAGAGUGUGCCACUGGGGCCCUCUGACCGCUCUGGGCAUCAUCCAGUCCAUCACCUUGAUGACAAUCCACUGUUUCUACCUGCUGUGGCCGUCUGAAUCCAAUUGGCUCCCAGGGAGGAUCCAAUUUUGGAUAUUCUGUGGGCUCAGCUGUGCGACGCUGUAUGCGUUCCUGAAUGCACUGCUCGUUGGACCUGGAUUUGUGCCGAAAGAAUGGAGACCGGAGGAUAAAUCUGCCGAGUCGCUGCUACAGUUCUGCUCCUUCUGUCAGGGAUACAAGGCUCCGAGAGCUCACCACUGCAGAAAAUGCAAUCGCUGUGUGAUGAAAAUGGACCACCACUGUCCGUGGAUCAACACCUGUGUGGGCCACAGAAAUCAUGGCUACUUUGCCUACUUUCUACUGUUUGCCGUCCUCGGAUCACUGCAGGGAGGGAUGACCAUGUCCCUGGCGGUGUAUAGAGUGUUCACGGCGCUCUACUACCGCGUAUCGCUACUGGCGCCACCUAUAACGAUGAACGUCUACGCCCUGAUGGGAUGUCUCUUUUGCAUUGGUCUCUCCAUCGGAGUGGUGCUUGCAGUGGGAAUGCUCUUCGUUUAUCAGGCUCUGUCUAUCCUCCGUAACCGUACCGGUGUGGAGGACUGGAUUCUGGAGAAGGCUGUACACAGACGACGGGUGGCCUUCCAGAGACGGUGGACAGAACUCAUGGAUCGAGCUGAUCAGGGCGAGGACAUUUCCGAAGAGGAAGCCUCCCUCCGGCCGGAGUUCUUCUUCAACCCGUACGACCUCGGACGGAUGAGGAACUGGAGCUUGGUGAUGUCGCCGCUAGGGGCGCCACUGGGCGACGGCAUAGUUUGGCCCGUGAGGGCCGGGUGCCAUCAGUACACACUGACGGUGGAGCAGCUUGAACAGAAGGCAGAGAAGCGCUCCCGGAUGAGGGAGUACCUCAUCAUUGAGGACUACUCCGGCUCGUGGGUGCCCAUCUCCAAAGGACUCCGAAUCUGCUGCCACCCUCCCUGCACCGACGAAGCUCGAAUCCCGCUCCGUCGCGGCGACUCCGUUCUCGUGUCUCGCUGGAGAACAUAUUGGCUAUAUGGAGAACGGCGGCCAAGACCUACAGAAGGAGCAUGUGGGGCAGCUUUUACAAGCCAGAGUGCUAGCGGUGGAAGCAUUAGCGGCGGUGGAAGUGUAAGCAGAAGUGGAAGUGGAAACAUAAGUGGAAGUGGAAGUGGCCGUGGAUGUGGAAGUGGAAACAUAAGUGGAAGUGGAAGUGGAAACAUAAGUGGCGGUGGAAGUGGAGGUUUUAUGAGAAAUGUUGGAGGAGGACAGCAUCCAACAAGUCCAGCAGAUCGUCCCAGAGGCUGGUUCCCCCGGAGGUGUGCGGUUGAAGAGGUGGGAGGGGUGGUGGAAGGUGGGGAGGAGUGCGGGGGAGGCAGGGAGAAACAGGAGUAGAGGAGAAGAGAGGGAAAGUGGAGGAGUGAGGGAAAGAGGGAGAGGGGAGAGACAGUGGAGAGAUGUAGAAGGAAGUGGAGAGAGAAGAGCAGAAGAGGAGAGGGAGGGAGAGAGGAGAAGAGAAGAGAAGAAGGGGAAAGGAGAGGAUGAAGAGAGGAAGAGAAGAGGAGGUCGACGUCAGGAUUGGAUUUCAGCACUCGCUUUAUGCCUCUUCGACUGGUAGCGACGCUGGCGGGUCUUUACUGAAUCACUAGUUUAUAUACCGCUCACUAGGUGGCAGUGAAGGACACGGCUCGCUUCCUCAGAUCAGAGGCACAGUCGUAACCCGUCUUGGCCCGAGACUGGAUGUCGGGCAGUUUCACCGACGAAGCAGUUGACUGCUUCGUCUCCCAACUGCUCGGCCAGAGUUGCCAGGUGCUGCCAGUUAAAGUUGCCAGGCGUUUGCCAGAUGCGUUUGCUGACUGCGGUGAUGUGAUCUCUAUUUGAAGUCGUGUUUACCAAAGGGUGUGUUGUGGUAGUAGCGAUGCGUUGCUCGAGUGAGACUUGCGACUUCGUUGCCAAAUGCCAUGACAACUGGUGGUGAGUCUUGUGAUUUGACGGGUGACUUUACAACUAGUGUGGACCAGUGUUUGAUGUGUGCUUGAAUUCCUGUUACUUCAAGACACUACGAUUCAACUCAAAAUUAGCUACAGUCUGACAAACGUUGGAAGGCACGGAUUUAAAGUACAACUGUUAUUUAUUUACUUUCCUGGAUUUCUCUAUACGCCCAACAACUUUGUUUUCAAAAUCUCAAACACAUCAGACUAUCUGCAGCGGCUAUUUCACGCAUUUAGUUUUCAAGGCGCCUUUUUUUUCUUAGAUUUGCCAGGCUAAUCUCGGAUGUGUUUUCGGGUGUUGUUUGUGAGUUUCGAGUGUUUUCAUGAACAUUUUACUAUUGACACAAACAGCUGGCAUGUUUGUGUCAAUUCAAGGCGUGUUUGUGUGGUGUUUGUCUCCACGAAGUGAAGUGUUUGUUUGUUGGUAUAUAGUAAUUGUCAUAGUGCCUUCAGUGUUUAGAUCAGGUUUCUGCCAUUCCAAUAUCGCUGGUAGCAAUACUCGGUGUAAAGUUGAUAAAACGCUUUACUGAGAAAAGUGAAUGCUUUUGAAAAUCAUCGCUCUAGUUAUAUACGAUGUGUGGUUGUUGAAACGUUACGUUGAUCGUGGCUUCCUUUGGAAAUUUCGUUAUGUGCGUUAAUCAUUACCAAAUGUGUGACUAGAAAUGCAAUGUGUGCUUUAGGGUGUUGUAUCAAUAAGGCGUAGGUUAAAGGUUUGCACAAGCAAUGUUGAUACGCAUGCAUUCAUUUAAGAAAAUAAGCUUAUCGUGCAUUCAGCUUUAAGCGUGGUGGAAUGGAAAGAAGAAAUUGUUCGUCCUAGCUCAAAUCCAUUGUGUCAUUUAAAUAGCCUAAUAGAAAAACGUUAAAUCGACUUAACGGCACAAUUUCCAGCUGCUCACUUUUGCGUGUAUUUAUACGUGCUUUUGUUACGUUAUUCGCUUGCUUUUUCGUUGAUCUGUGUUAGCUUGCCGUGUUGAAUGCUAAAUGCUAUAAAAAAGCACGUUGUUGGAGCGUAUACAGUCCAUAUCAGAAUGAACUAUGCACUCGUGGUCGUGAACAAUACACUGCGUGAAAGAAA